AAGUAGUAACUGAUUUGACUACCAUUAGUACCUCGCUGGCUUACUACACAUCUGAUCGGAUAUAUCAAACUCAUCAGUCAAAUCUGAACCUCUCUAAUGACAAAGUAACACGAUUUGUGUAUGCAAUGUUAAUAUACAUUUUAUGGCGUAAAUAAGUUGAAGUUCUGUUGGGAAAGUUGUAUUAUUAUCAUUAUAUUAUCGUUCGGGAUCUCAAAUAUCGAGAGGUCUCCUGGCAUUAACCUGAGUAUCAUGGCUUUAAAAUAAAGUCUGACACAAUUUAUAUACAAACUUCUUUCCGCCCCCAUCCACAGGCUGUCAAAUAUCUAUUAAAAGCAACCAGUCACAACAGUGAAAUUGACCAAACUUUUAAAAUUACUAAAAAUCAUCAAUGUAAUGUACGCAAACAAACUCAUUAAUAUAGUUUAAUGUAAACUAUUGUUUUCUCUGAGCCAAUCAGAUUUACAAUCGAAAUACGGUUGUAAGGCAUGGACUUUUGUUAAGUCUUGUAUCAGGCCUAUUUAUUUACUUAUAGGCCUGAUCGCAGGUUUACCUGGCAUCUCGUGCAAUGAACUAAUAGUAGAUGGUUUUUUAUAGAUGGAAU
Paramuricea clavata is the source of this 601-nucleotide non-coding RNA. The record is from the annotation of a GenBank genome assembly. NCBI's taxonomy places the organism in Eukaryota, Metazoa, Cnidaria, Anthozoa, Malacalcyonacea, Plexauridae.